This is a long non-coding RNA of Sphaeramia orbicularis (orbiculate cardinalfish), 147 nucleotides long. RefSeq lists it as uncharacterized. The transcript has 3 exons. NCBI's taxonomy places the organism in Eukaryota, Metazoa, Chordata, Actinopteri, Kurtiformes, Apogonidae. The record is from RefSeq and is a predicted model, not a curated record.
AACUGAAUCACACCACUGUGUCCUACUACUGAGAAUCAUCAUCAUAUCUGACAAUGAUCACACAGGGAAUUUGGAUUCUUCUGUGAAGAAACAUGAUUGUGUGACAUUGACAGUGAAAUAGGCCUAGCUUGCUUUGUUUUUAUCAAU